GACGAACGCUGGCGGCGUGCUUAACACAUGCAAGUCGAACGGAAAGGCCCCUUUGGGGGUACUCGAGUGGCGAACGGGUGAGUAACACGUGAGUAACCUGCCCUUGACUUCGGGAUAACUUCAGGAAACUGGGGCUAAUACCGGAUAGGAAUCCUUGCUGCAUGGUGGGGGUUGGAAAGCUUCGGCGGUUUUGGAUGGACUCGCGGCUUAUCAGCUUGUUGGUGGGGUAGUGGCUUACCAAGGCUUUGACGGGUAGCCGGCCUGAGAGGGCGACCGGCCACAUUGGGACUGAGAUACGGCCCAGACGCCUACGGGAGGCAGCAGUGGGGAAGAUUGCACAAUGGGCGGAAGCCUGAUGCAGCAACGCCGCGUGCGGGAUGACGGCCUUCGGGUUGUAAACCGCGUUCAGCAGGGGCGAAGCUUGUGGUGACGGUACCUGCAGAAGAAGCACCGGCUAACUACGUG
This 465-nucleotide ribosomal RNA is filed under the name uncultured bacterium. RNAcentral describes it as "partial 16S ribosomal RNA". It matches the Rfam family "Bacterial small subunit ribosomal RNA", at positions 28 to 507 of the family's 1533-position model. The record is from RNAcentral.